ACGAAUAUAACACUGUAUGCUACCUAUACUGGAAUUUUUUUUAAAGAACAUAAUAAUUUUUCUUUUUUUAGUGUGCCAGAUGCCCCUCUGAGAAGCAAUGGAGAACCAUGGUGGAGACAAUCUCAGCUCCGUGGACCGUUGUCCAGCAUUUGCCCUCCUUUGGCAUUGGGAGACACAGCUCGCUGAAAGAGCUCCAGUAGCCCCCAGGGGCACGAAUCUCAGAGAGGGAGCAAAUGCUAUGCGUGCAGUGAGCCUGACUCUUUGACCUGGGGGUUAGAAGUCACAUCAGCGUCAUCCUUCGGAGGGUUUGGUUCUGGACGAGGAAUUUGGUUGAAAUUAUCGACGACAGCAACAAAACUCACUGUUGAGAAGGUUGGCUGGGGAGAAGAAUGCUAGGACGACUUGGGUACAUCACCCCGGGAAAGGGAGGACUAUCCUGUCACAGCCCGAUUGGUGGUGUCUCACCAUCGAUCUUUGGCAAGUUGUACUGGAAAGGGAUGGUCAGAGUUCCAAAGUGCAAUAUUAUAUUUCCAAUUAAAAUGUAAAAACAAACCUUUCUCAUAAAGCACAUUGGCCUCAGCACUGGGAAGUGACUACAAAGCCCAUUGCUGAUUGAGAAAAGCUGAAAGCAGACACUGUAAUUGAUAAAGGAGAUAAGUCAAUCUGUGUCCUUUAAAGAAUAAUGAGUUCCAUUUUUCAUCAAAAAGAUCUCCUUGUGCCGAAGAAACAUUCUUUCAAUAAAUCUACUUAAUGGUUUCCCUUCUAAUGAUAUAUAACAUUGCGCUUUGGAAGGAGCUUGGAGCAUCCUGGCCCGUUCCUGCAAGGGUCUGCAGGCCACCCAACAUUUGCAUUGCUAAUCCAACCCAAAGAAAACCCAAAAGGUUCCCAGACAGUGCUGCAUUCCCCUGAGGCGGGGGUGGGGUGGGGGUGGACUAUCUAAAAGCUUUCCCGGGCUCUUCAAGCAGGUAGAUGGGACAGAAUUUUUAGAUCAUUCCCUCACCAUUAAACUUGAGGUCCUAUGCAUAUUUACAUCCCUCCCUUGCCCCCCACCCCCGCCAACCGAGCCGACUGCCACCCUGGUGUGUUAGGGAUACCUCAGCUCUGAGGGUGGCUCAAGAGUUAAAGGUUUCAGAUAUUUGGGUGGUGAGAACUGAUGAGCUUGUUUGUUCCCUGGGCUCACCCCUCUCCAACAGCCCUGACGGCCUUGGUGUUGUUCAGACCGUGGGCUGCAGGAGGUAGUCCGUGUUUAUUGUGUUUGGUAAACUGAAGAUCCACUUUAAAGACCCGGCCUGAGGGAGUGCUGUGUCCAGGCCCUCCCCCCAGCCAGCCGAGGGCCUAAGCUUACUCAGGUGGUAAAGGCAGAGCAGAAGAGACAGCCUGUCCCCCGGCAAGGGAAGGGUCCAGGGCCCUCUGUGCCCUGGUGCUAGGCAGCAGGAACGGUGUCGCUCAGCUUGGCUUACCUUGCGACCCCCCUCCCCAACUUUACAAACGUGCUGCUAUUUCCACAAGCACCCAGCUUUAUGUAACAAAACCCAUUUCCUCCAAGCGCACCCAGCCCUCCCAAUACUGGCGGACUUCCCCACAUGGAACUCAUUAAAAACAACCCUCGAGUUAUUUCCUUAUGUUGCUGUUUGUUUAUUCUCCAGUCGCGUGUGAGUCAGCCCGAUCAUGAUUUGUGGUGGUUUUGCUUAUGAAAUCUUACAUAAUUAUAUUUCUCUUGUCAUGUUGGGUCGAGCCGUGAGGCCUUACAGUGUUUUCUCAUUGCACAACGUGGGCGAAUCAAUACGGAGAACGGCUGAACAAUGAGGUGACGUCGGCUGCCCAGGAAGCCGGGCUCCUAGUCACCCAGGAGGCGGCCGUGCGGUGGCGCGAGGGGCCCGGACGCCGGCUAAGGCCCCCCGCGCGGCCCAGGAUGGCGAGGCUGGGUGGCGGCCUCCGAGCAUGCGGCUCGCCGAGGUGCGACUUAAGAGAGGGGAGCCAGGGAACGAAAGAACAGCAAUGACAACACUUCACACAGAAACCGACCACAUUUUUACUGCAUUCGCGACACGCCGGAUUCCACCAUGCUGGUCCCGAGCGUGGCUGGCUACAAGCCGGCAAGACGCUUACGGCUGCUCCGCGGGGCCUUCCCUUGCCCGCCUUGUACGUGAUUUCUUUGAUCCUCCUCACCGUCCCAAGUCCAGAGGCAGCUACUAAGAACACGCUCGAUGCAAAACAGUGAGUGGCUACGACACACGGAUGAGGCUGGGUGCGAUUUCCACGGCAGAACGUGGAAUCCAGAGAAAUGGUUUGUGGAGGCAAGACGCCUCCUUAGUGGCUACUAGUAUUAUGGAGCUCAAAACCCACAGCUGGCUGGUUUUGCUCGAUUCCUGGAGUACAUUGAAGCUAGUUGUUCCUAACGUUAUUUCAUAUUUUAAAUAAAAUAUCUGACCUGAUUUAAACCUU
Molecule: long non-coding RNA, 2445 nt
Organism: Zalophus californianus (California sea lion)
Lineage: Eukaryota; Metazoa; Chordata; Mammalia; Carnivora; Otariidae
Exons: 3
Source: RefSeq, a predicted model, not a curated record